Molecule: ribosomal RNA, 301 nt
Filed under: uncultured bacterium
Lineage: Bacteria
Description: partial 16S ribosomal RNA
Rfam family: Bacterial small subunit ribosomal RNA
Source: RNAcentral
CAGUCGCCGCGGUAAUACGGAGGAUCCAAGCGUUAUCCGGAAUCAUUGGGUUUAAAGGGUCCGUAGGCGGUCUUGUAAGUCAGUGGUGAAAGCCCAUCGCUCAACGGUGGAACGGCCAUUGAUACUGCAGGACUUGAAUUAUUGGGAAGUAACUAGAAUAUGUAGUGUAGCGGUGAAAUGCUUAGAGAUUACAUGGAAUACCAAUUGCGAAGGCAGGUUACUACCAAUUGAUUGACGCUGAUGGACGAAAGCGUGGGUAGCGUACAGGAUUAGAUACCCCCGUAGUCCCUGUCUCUUAUAC